CAUGCAAGUCGAGCGCAUCCUUCGGGAUGAGCGGCGGACGGGUGAGUAACGCGUGGGAAUGUGCCCUUCUCUACGGAAUAGCCACUGGAAACGGUGAGUAAUACCGUAUACGCCCUCAGGGGGAAAGAUUUAUCGGAGAAGGAUCAGCCCGCGUUAGAUUAGGUAGUUGGUGGGGUAACGGCCUACCAAGCCUACGAUCUAUAGCUGGUUUUAGAGGAUGAUCAGCCACACUGGGACUGAGACACGGCCCAGACUCCUACGGGAGGCAGCAGUAGGGAAUCUUGGACAAUGGGGGCAACCCUGAUCCAGCCAUGCCGCGUGAGUGAAGAAGGCCCUAGGGUCGUAAAGCUCUUUCGCCUGUGAUGAUAAUGACAGUAGCAGGUAAAGAAACCCCGGCUAACUCCGUGCCAGCAGCCGCGGUAAUACGGAGGGGGUUAGCGUUGUUCGGAAUUACUGGGCGUAAAGCGCGCGUAGGCGGAUUGGAAAGUUGGGGGUGAAAUCCCGGGGCUCAACCCCGGAACUGCCUUCAAAACUCCCAGUCU
This 542-nucleotide ribosomal RNA is filed under the name uncultured Rhodobacterales bacterium. RNAcentral's name for it is "bacterial SSU rRNA". It matches the Rfam family "Bacterial small subunit ribosomal RNA", at positions 54 to 642 of the family's 1533-position model. The record is from RNAcentral. Lineage: Bacteria; Pseudomonadati; Pseudomonadota; Alphaproteobacteria; Rhodobacterales.